RNAcentral lists this ribosomal RNA (375 nucleotides) under uncultured bacterium. RNAcentral's name for it is "bacterial SSU rRNA". It matches the Rfam family "Bacterial small subunit ribosomal RNA", at positions 524 to 898 of the family's 1533-position model. The record is from RNAcentral.
UACGUAGGUGGCGAGCGUUGUCCGGAAUUACUGGGUGUAAAGGGUGCGCAGGCGGGACUGCAAGUUGGAUGUGAAAUACCGGGGCUUAACCCCGGGGCUGCAUCCAAAACUGCGGUUCUUGAGUGAAGUAGAGGCAGGCGGAAUUCCGAGUGUAGCGGUGAAAUGCGUAGAUAUUCGGAGGAACACCAGUGGCGAAGGCGGCCUGCUGGGCUUUAACUGACGCUGAGGCACGAAAGCAUGGGGAGCAAACAGGAUUAGAUACCCUGGUAGUCCAUGCCGUAAACGAUGAUUGCUAGGUGUGGGGGGACUGACCCCUUCCGUGCCGGAGUAAACACAAUAAGCAAUCCACCUGGGGAGUACGACCGCAAGGUUGAA